CUCACGCAGCGCAUCCUCCCUCCAGCUUCCACUGCCACGUCUUCCCGUUUCUGGAGCAGGAGGAGGCCCGCCACGGGGCCCUGCAGCAGCUGCAGCAGCAGAGUCAGGAGCUGCAGGAGGUCCUCGGGGAGACGGAGCGGUUCCUGAUCCAGGUGCUGGGCCGGGUGCUGCAGCUGCUGCCACCGGGACAGGUGCAGGUCCACAAGAUGAAGGCCGUGUACCUGGCCCUGAACCAGUGCAGCGUGAGCACCACGCACAAGUGCCUCAUUGCCGAGGCCUGGUGCUCUGUGCGAGACCUGCCCGCCCUGCAGGAGGCCCUGCGGGACAGCUCGAUGGAGGAGGGAGUGAGCGCCGUGGCUCACCGCAUCCCCUGCCGGGACAUGCCCCCCACACUCAUCCGCACCAACCGCUUCACGGCCAGCUUCCAGGGCAUCGUGGACGCCUAUGGCGUGGGCCGCUACCAGGAGGUCAACCCCGCUCCCUACACCAUCAUCACCUUCCCCUUCCUGUUUGCUGUGAUGUUCGGGGAUGUGGGCCACGGGCUGCUCAUGUUCCUCUUCGCACUGGCCAUGGUGCUUGCGGAGAACCGGCCAGCUGUGAAGGCCGCGCAGAACGAGGUGAGGGGCCGGGCUGGGGUCCUGAUGAGGGUAGCAGGGCCAGGCAGUCCCUCACCACACCGCUGCCCCCCAGAUCUGGCAGACUUUCUUCAGGGGCCGCUACCUGCUCCUGCUCAUGGGCCUGUUCUCCAUCUACACUGGCUUCAUCUACAACGAGUGCUUCAGUCGUGCCACCAGCAUCUUCCCCUCGGGCUGGAGUGUGGCCGCCAUGGCCAACCAGUCUGGCUGGAGGUGAGGCCCGGGCCUCAGCCCAGCCGGGGGCCCCGCAGCACCCGCAGCCCUGACCACCCUGCCCUCCGUUGCCGCAGUGAUGCGUUCCUGGCCCAGCACACGAUGCUUACCCUGGAUCCCAACGUCACCGGUGUCUUCCUGGGACCCUACCCCUUUGGCAUCGACCCUAUCUGGAGCCUGGCUGCCAACCACUUGAGCUUCCUCAACUCCUUCAAGAUGAAGAUGUCCGUCAUCCUGGGCGUCGUGCACAUGGCCUUUGGGGUGGUCCUCGGAGUCUUCAACCACAUGCACUUUGGCCAGAGGCACCGGCUGCUGCUGGAGACGCUGCCGGAGCUCACCUUCCUGCUGGGACUCUUCGGUUACCUCGUCUUCCUAGUCAUCUACAAGUGGCUGCGUGUCUGGGCUGGCAGCACCGCCUCGGCCCCCAGCAUCCUCAUCCACUUCAUCAACAUGUUCCUCUUCUCCCACAGCCCCACCAACAGGCCGCUUUACCCCCGGCAGGAGGUGGUCCAGGCCACGCUGGUGGUCCUGGCCUUGGCCAUGGUGCCCGUCCUGCUGCUUGGCACACCCCUGCACCUGCUGCGCCGCCGCCGCCGCCACCUGCGGAGGAGGCCCACUGGUCAACAGGAGGAAAACAAGGCCGCGUUGCUGGACCUGCCCGACGCAUCUGUGAAUGGCUGGAGCUCCGAUGAGGAAAAGGCAGGGGGCCUGGAUGACGAAGAGGAGGCCGAGGUGGGCGCGGUGCCUUCCUGGGGGUGGGACGGCUGAGGCCCCGCUGGCCCUCACUGCACCCGCCCCACAGCUCGUUCCCUCCGAGGUACUCAUGCACCAGGCCAUCCACACCAUCGAGUUCUGCCUGGGCUGCAUCUCCAACACCGCCUCCUACCUGCGCCUGUGGGCCCUGAGCCUGGCCCACGCCCAGCUGUCCGAGGUUCUGUGGGCCAUGGUGAUGCGCACAGGCCUGGGCCUGGGCCGGGAGGUGGGCGUGGCGGCUGCGGCGCUGGUCCCCAUCUUUGCCAUCUUUGCUGUGCUGACCGUGGCCAUCCUGCUGGUGAUGGAGGGGCUCUCGGCCUUCCUGCACGCCCUGCGGCUGCACUGGUGAGCGACCACCCCCUGGCCUGGGCUGCUCAAGGUGGGAGUUCCCCUCACCAACCCCUCCGCUUCUCACCCCCAGGGUGGAAUUCCAGAACAAGUUCUACUCGGGCACAGGCUACAAGCUGAGUCCCUUCACCUUUGCUGCCACAGAUGACUAGGGCCCACUGCAGGUCCUGCCAGAUCUCCAUCCUGACCUCUGAGGCAGGAGAGGAAUAAA
RNAcentral lists this small RNA (2160 nucleotides) under Pongo abelii (Sumatran orangutan). RNAcentral's name for it is "retained intron". Lineage: Eukaryota; Metazoa; Chordata; Mammalia; Primates; Hominidae. The record is from RNAcentral.